UAGAAGCAGCUGAAAAGGAAAAAAUGAGAGAGAAGGUGCAAAAGAUCAUUAGUCAUGGAAUAAAUUGCUUUGUUAACCGACAGCUGAUCUACAAUUUCCCAGAGGAACUAUUUGCCGAUGCAGGGGUACUUGCAAUAGAACAUGCCGACUUUGAUGGUAUUGAGCGGUUGGGUUUAGUUACUGGGGGAGAAAUUGCGUCAACCUUUGAUAACCCAGAGUCUGUCAAGCUUGGCCACUGCAAACUUAUUGAGGAG
RNAcentral lists this long non-coding RNA (254 nucleotides) under Capsicum annuum. RNAcentral's name for it is "long non-coding RNA (CANN_LNC016713)". Lineage: Eukaryota; Viridiplantae; Streptophyta; Magnoliopsida; Solanales; Solanaceae. The record is from RNAcentral.